RNAcentral lists this long non-coding RNA (1214 nucleotides) under Homo sapiens (human). RNAcentral describes it as "HSALNT0344875". The record is from RNAcentral. Lineage: Eukaryota; Metazoa; Chordata; Mammalia; Primates; Hominidae.
UUUUGUUUUGUUUUAAAAAAUGUGGUAAAAUAGACACCUUUUAAUUGGACCACAUUUUGUCUAUCUCGACGUAGGCCUCAGUGUCAUCAAGGAGACUCUGCUUGACAUGCAGUCAAGGCCAUGAUCCAUCUUCAGAGCUUCUCUUUCUUCCCCAAGGCUGGCGCUGAGAUGGGCAGGUGCUGCAGCAGCCCCGCUGGAAGCGAUGCAGCAUCCAGGACGACGGAGGAAGGGGCGGAGAGGGACCUCUGCUUUCCAGGCUGCCUUUUAUACUGCCUCUGGUCACCUGACAUGGAACGUACCCUAACCUAAUCAGUUACCUGUACCUUAAUUGCAAUUAACUUAAUCCAAUUACAUGACCUGGAAAGGUCUAUCUGCACAGCCCACUCUAAGAUCCUGUCCACUGCUGACAGACAUUCUAAAACCUACUUGUACAGCUGCAAGCUUUGAACAAUAGAUGUUCCCCGUCAGACAUGUAACACUGGUGCCUGUAUCCCUGUCUUCUUUUCCAUCUUUUUUGUUGUUUUGUUUUGUUUCGUUUUAAAAAAUGUGGUAAAAUAGACACCUUUUAAUUGGACCACAUUUUGUCUCUCUCGACGUAGGCCUCAGUGUCAUCAAGGAGACUCUCCUUGACAUGCAGUCACGGCCAUGAUCCAUCUUCAGAGCUUCUCUUUCUUCCCCAAGCUCGUCUUGCGACUCCCGGACGCCUGUGAGGCUGUAAUUCCCUGGGUCCCAUUGCCAUGUCUCUGGAUUUGCGAAGAUCCACCGCACCUUCUGUGGAACUCCCGUGUCGGUGAACUUUUGUGCCACGGCCCCUAAUUCUGCCCAUGGUCAUCCGCACCUGCACGACUUAGGGUCCAUGUUCCUUGGACGGGAAGAGACAGGCAGGAGUCGGAAUGAUGAACCAGCACACUGGGGCGUUUUCUCAUGUAGCCCAAGUGACCCCAUGGUCUUCUCGAGCUUUGGAACCAGUCGCGUCCCCUUUGACACUGCACCCGGCUCCCAGUCUCUCAAUCUUGUUGGCCCUCCGGCGAUCUCCCGUUGGAUGAAUUGCUCCUGCUGAAACUCCAGUCCCCUUUGAUUUGCGCUUCAUUAAUUAUUCAUGAUUCAGGUUGGAAGGCCUGCUGACGACCCCCUGUGGCCGUUCUCUGAGCUUUCCUGUCACAUCGUUUCCUUCCACGCUCUUUGGUUCCUUAUGGUCCUGCUCCCUCUGCUGU